RNAcentral lists this ribosomal RNA (480 nucleotides) under bacterium w2cc30. Its description in RNAcentral is "bacterial SSU rRNA". It matches the Rfam family "Bacterial small subunit ribosomal RNA", at positions 41 to 567 of the family's 1533-position model. The record is from RNAcentral.
GGCAGGCCUAACACAUGCAAGUCGAGCGCGCCCUUCGGGGUGAGCGGCGGACGGGUUAGUAACGCGUGGGAAUAUGCCCAAAGGUAGGGAAUAGCCUCUGGAAACGGAGAGUAAUACCCUAUGUGCCCUUCGGGGGAAAGAUUUAUCGCCUUUGGAUUAGCCCGCGUUAGAUUAGGUAGUUGGUGGGGUAAUGGCCUACCAAGCCUACGAUCUAUAGCUGGUUUUAGAGGAUGAUCAGCAACACUGGGACUGAGACACGGCCCAGACUCCUACGGGAGGCAGCAGUGGGGAAUCUUGGACAAUGGGCGCAAGCCUGAUCCAGCCAUGCCGCGUGAGUGAUGAAGGCCUUAGGGUCGUAAAGCUCUUUCGCCAGGGAUGAUAAUGACAGUACCUGGUAAAGAAACCCCGGCUAACUCCGUGCCAGCAGCCGCGGUAAUACGGAGGGGGUUAGCGUUGUUCGGAAUUACUGGGCGUAAAGCG